AUUGAACGCUGGCGGCAGGCCUAACACAUGCAAGUCGAACGAGAGGCGGACGGGUGAGUAUUGUAUGGGGACUGCCCGAUAGAGGGGGAUAAAUACUGGAAACGGUAGCUAAUACCGCAUACGCUAGGAUAACCCACAUGGGAUUAGCUAGUAGGUGAGGUAAUGGGUCACCUAGGCGACGAUCCCUAGCUGGUCUGAGAGGAUGAUCAGCCACACUGGGACUGAGACACGGCCCAGACUCCUACGGAGGCAGCAGUGGGGAAUAUUGCACAAUGGGCGCAAGCCUGAUGCAGCCAUGCCGCGUGUAUGAAGAAGGCCCUAGGGUUGUAAAGUUCUUUCAGUCGGGAGGCGUUACCGACAGAAGAAGCACCGGCUAACUCCGUGCCAGCAGCCGCGGUAAUUC
This 403-nucleotide ribosomal RNA is filed under the name uncultured bacterium. RNAcentral describes it as "partial 16S ribosomal RNA". It matches the Rfam family "Bacterial small subunit ribosomal RNA", at positions 30 to 526 of the family's 1533-position model. The record is from RNAcentral.